Molecule: transfer RNA, 76 nt
Filed under: Klebsiella pneumoniae
Lineage: Bacteria; Pseudomonadati; Pseudomonadota; Gammaproteobacteria; Enterobacterales; Enterobacteriaceae
Description: tRNA-Lys
Rfam family: tRNA
About the family: Transfer RNA (tRNA) molecules are approximately 80 nucleotides in length. Their secondary structure includes four short double-helical elements and three loops (D, anti-codon, and T loops).
Source: RNAcentral
GGGUCGUUAGCUCAGUUGGUAGAGCAGUUGACUUUUAAUCAAUUGGUCGCAGGUUCGAAUCCUGCACGACCCCUCA